UGCGUAGGUGGUCGGGUAAGUUUGAUGUGAAAUCUCCGGGCUCAACCCGGAAAAUGCAUUGAAUACUAUUCGGCUGGAGGGUUGGAGGGGGGACUGGAAUUCUCGGUGUAGCAGUGAAAUGCGUAGAUAUCGAGAGGAACACCAGUGGCGAAGGCGAGUCCCUGGACAACUCCUGACACUAAGGCACGAAAGCUAGGGGGAGAAACA
This 207-nucleotide ribosomal RNA is filed under the name uncultured bacterium. RNAcentral describes it as "partial 16S ribosomal RNA". It matches the Rfam family "Bacterial small subunit ribosomal RNA", at positions 568 to 774 of the family's 1533-position model. The record is from RNAcentral.